UAGGAAGUAGUAUAGUUGGAAGUACGUAGAAUUUUGAUUUCUAUGGGAUAGGUUCAAGUCCUAUUUUUCUAA
This 72-nucleotide transfer RNA is filed under the name Bathyraja albomaculata (white-dotted skate). RNAcentral describes it as "tRNA-Gln". It matches the Rfam family "tRNA". From Rfam's summary of the family: Transfer RNA (tRNA) molecules are approximately 80 nucleotides in length. Their secondary structure includes four short double-helical elements and three loops (D, anti-codon, and T loops). Further hydrogen bonds mediate the characteristic L-shaped molecular structure. tRNAs have two regions of fundamental functional importance: the anti-codon, which is responsible for specific mRNA codon recognition, and the 3' end, to which the tRNAs corresponding amino acid is attached (by aminoacyl-tRNA synthetases). tRNAs cope with the degeneracy of the genetic code in two manners: having more than one tRNA (with a specific anti-codon) for a particular amino acid; and 'wobble' base-pairing, i.e. permitting non-standard base-pairing at the 3rd anti-codon position. Lineage: Eukaryota; Metazoa; Chordata; Chondrichthyes; Rajiformes; Arhynchobatidae. RNAcentral also lists the same sequence under 2 other names. The record is from RNAcentral.